This 253-nucleotide ribosomal RNA is filed under the name uncultured bacterium. RNAcentral describes it as "partial 16S ribosomal RNA". It matches the Rfam family "Bacterial small subunit ribosomal RNA", at positions 524 to 776 of the family's 1533-position model. The record is from RNAcentral.
UACAUGGGGUGCAAACGUUGCUCGGAAUGACUGGGCGUAAAGGGCGCGUAGGCGGAUGGCACAGUCAGAUGUGAAAUUCCCGGGCUUAACCUGGGGGCUGCAUUUGAUACGUGUUGUCUUGAGUUCGGAAGAGGGUCGUGGAAUUCCCAGUGUAGAGGUGAAAUUCGUAGAUAUUGGGAAGAACACCGGUGGCGAAGGCGGCGACCUGGUCCGACACUGACGCUGAGGCGCGAAAGCGUGGGGAGCAAACAGG